UUUGAUGGCGACCGGCGCACGGGUGAGUAACACGUAUCCAACCUGCCGAUGACUCGGGGAUAGCCUUUCGAAAGAAAGAUUAAUACCCGAUGGCAUAGUUCUUCCGCAUGGUAGAACUAUUAAAGAAUUUCGGUCAUCGAUGGGGAUGCGUUCCAUUAGGUUGUUGGCGGGUAACGGCCCACCAAGCCUUCGAUGGAUAGGGGUUCUGAGGGGAAGGUCCCCCACAUUGGAACUGAGACACGGUCCAA
Molecule: ribosomal RNA, 248 nt
Filed under: uncultured bacterium
Lineage: Bacteria
Description: partial 16S ribosomal RNA
Rfam family: Bacterial small subunit ribosomal RNA
Source: RNAcentral